RNAcentral lists this ribosomal RNA (466 nucleotides) under uncultured bacterium. RNAcentral describes it as "partial 16S ribosomal RNA". It matches the Rfam family "Bacterial small subunit ribosomal RNA", at positions 28 to 507 of the family's 1533-position model. The record is from RNAcentral.
GAUGAACGCUGGCGGCGUGCUUAACACAUGCAAGUCGAACGGAAAGGCUCCUGCUUGCAGGGGUACUCGAGUGGCGAACGGGUGAGUAACACGUGGGUGAUCUGCCCUGCACUUCGGGAUAAGCCUGGGAAACUGGGUCUAAUACCGGAUAGGACGAUGGUUUGGAUGCCAUUGUGGAAAGUUUUUUCGGUGUGGGAUGAGCUCGCGGCCUAUCAGCUUGUUGGUGGGGUAAUGGCCUACCAAGGCGUCGACGGGUAGCCGGCCUGAGAGGGUGUACGGCCACAUUGGGACUGAGAUACGGCCCAGACUCCUACGGGAGGCAGCAGUGGGGAAUAGUGCACAAUGGGCGCAAGCCUGAUGCAGCGACGCCGCGUGGGGGAUGACGGCCUUCGGGUUGUAAACUCCUUUCGCUAGGGACGAAGCGCAAGUGACGGUACCUGGAGAAGAAGCACCGGCUAACUACGUG